Long non-coding RNA from Pristis pectinata (smalltooth sawfish), 2255 nucleotides. RefSeq lists it as uncharacterized. Lineage: Eukaryota; Metazoa; Chordata; Chondrichthyes; Rhinopristiformes; Pristidae. The record is from RefSeq and is a predicted model, not a curated record. The transcript has 3 exons.
AGGGGGGCUGUGUGGUCCGCGGAGGAGACAGGACUGCCCAUGUGGUCAGAGUGGUGGGGGCAUGGCUACCAGUGCAGUCAGUGGGUGGUGGGGACUGGGGAACCAGUGCGGUUGGGGUCAGGGUGCCAGUGUGGUCAGUGCGGGGGGAGCAGGGUGCCAGUGUGGUCAGCAGGUGGUGGGGCAGCUCUGGGUAGCACUGGCUGAGGCUAUUUCUUUUGGUGGGUCCCAUACCACAGGCUGUUGGGGGGAGGUGGGGGCACCUGCUGCUGCGGCACUGUCUGGAUAGGUAUUUGUUCUUCAGGUCUCCCUCAAUGAGUGAUCCUAGCUGUAAAUGAGUGGCUACUUUGGAACUGGCCUUUGACGUGUGGAAACCAGGCGACGGACAUUGUGCCCAGGGUUGUACUCAUUGUCAGCUUGGGAAGUGGUGCUGUGUCUGCAACAGUGGUACGUCCUUACCUGUGCUCUCUGAAAGUUACAUUUGAAAACCGAUGUCUUGGCUUUGUGAAAGGGACUUGCUCCUUUAUUACAGCUAAACCUAUGAUGUUUGUGCAUUGUCAGUAUUCUUCAGUUGAUAUGUGCCCUGGAAGUCCUUUUGUGCAGGUAUAUCUUCACAUGAUUUUGGAAACAGCAAGCCUAUGUCUUUGUUAUCUUGAAGGUAUAUAGUGUUUUUUAUAUUUUGAUAUGAAUUAUUUUAAAAUUGCAUUUGCAUUCUGAUUAUAUUUUUAAAACCAGUAAGUGAUUAAUAUAAAAUAGUCUGUGCUGUUGACUGUGAUCUGACAUGGCAUCUCGUCAAACUAUUUGCUGCAACUGCUUUCUGUUUUAGUGUAAUGACAGUCUGCAUUUUGUUCUGAUUUAGACUUCUUAUGCACUAAAAAAUAUCAUGUACUUUAGGAAAAUAAAUUUACUUGAUCUUGUGUAACUUAAUCUUGUAUAACUUAAUCUUGUAUAGAUUCAAUUUUUUCUUAAACAUUGACACUGCUUGGUGAAGUAUAUAAUAUAAAAAGUAUGAAUAUCAAAUGUAAUAUGGGGGGAUUUCUAUCUUGACUGAUUAUAAAAAUAUUUUUAAAAUGUCUUUAAGUCUUGCACUUCUAAUUUAAAGUAAUUCUUACAAUUGAACAUGCCUAGUCAUGAAUUUGUUUGUUAGGACAGCAGGAUUGAGUAAUUGCAGAAAAUCAAGUCUUUGAUGGCAGAAUGUUCAUUGCCCAUUUCUGGUAGAAUCUAAGAAACUGUAGAAGCUAGCUUGAAGUCAAGUAGGUUUGUAUUUGCUGUCCCCACAAAAAAAGCCAAGAAUUCUUUUCAUUGAUACAUUGAGGAAGUUCGACCUAAAAAUAAACACAUUUUGCUGGUAUGAAGUUGCACUCCAAUCUGUGAAUUUCAGAAUAUGGCAAAAUAUAAAAUGGAUGUAAAUUGUUGUAAACAAUGAAGACUCAGAUGCUAACAAUAUGAAGUUCUUAAUUUCUAAAUUUAAAUUUUUAAUUGUAAUGCAUGUUGAAGACUAGCAAUCAUGGAACCUUUUAACUGAUUUUUACUGAUACCACAAAAUAACCAUUCAAAGAAAUAGAAAAUGAAACACGUCUUUGAAUGAAACAUAAGAGAAAUGUUACAUCUGAAAAUUUGGUUGUAAGUUUAGGAAACUGAGGAAGUGUGAUAGAACAGUACAAAAAUUUCUAUGAUUUUAAGGAUUGAUAGAUGGUAAUGUGUUGUGAAAUUAAACGCAACACAAAUCAUUCUAACAUCUUGUGUACCAAAGGCUAUUUAAUACAGUAAAGUGAGACAAUCUAUUUUGUACAUAGAUCUUUAUUCCAAAAUAAAGAAUACUUUGCUAAAACACAAUCUGUGAAACUGUUGAUUUUGUAUGUCUCUGUUGCACUGUUUUAAACCUCUGCUCUUGUGCCAGAAACAUGGGAAAUAAACUCUUGGAACUGCAGAGCUCUUCUGGCUUUGGGUCCUGUUGGAGUCUCAUUUUAUUAAGAAACUACAGCUCUGCUAUAGGAAAGAGCACUGGAAAAUGUUGGACAUGUUCAGCACAUUUGCUUGCCGAUUUCCCCAGUUGCCAUGAGAGGUGUGGGUAGCAUAAACAAAAGACUUUCCUCCCUUAACAUUAAUUAAGAGGCAUAGAUGUAAGUCAAUUAGCAGAAAGAUGACAGGGUUCAAAAAAUUAGUGUAUGUGGAUGAGCACUUGCAGAGACUUAACCAAGAACUGGGAAGAGGGAUUAACCAAAGCUCCAUUUUUUGACUGGCAUAGUUAAAACAUA